Molecule: ribosomal RNA, 217 nt
Filed under: Levilactobacillus brevis
Lineage: Bacteria; Bacillati; Bacillota; Bacilli; Lactobacillales; Lactobacillaceae
Description: Lactobacillus brevis partial 23S ribosomal RNA
Rfam family: Bacterial large subunit ribosomal RNA
Source: RNAcentral
GGUGUACCAGUUGUGCCGCCAGGCGCAUCGCUGGGUAGCUAUGUAUGGAUGAGAUAAACGCUGAAAGCAUCUAAGUGUGAAACUCGCCUCAAGAUGAGAUUUCCCAUUCCUAUAUGGAAGUAAGACCCCUGAGAGAUGAUCAGGUAGAUGGGCUGGAAGUAGUAGCGCCGUGAGGCGUGGAGCGGACCAGUACUAAUCGGUCGAGGACUUAACCAAG